GAAAUGCUAUAAGUAAUGUGAAUAGCAAAAUUCAGUGAAUCAUCGAAUCUUUGAACGCAUCUUGCGCUCCUUGGUAUUCCGAGGAGCAUGCCUGUUUGAGUGUCAUCA
RNAcentral lists this ribosomal RNA (108 nucleotides) under Inocybe soluta. RNAcentral describes it as "partial 5.8S ribosomal RNA". It matches the Rfam family "5.8S ribosomal RNA", at positions 50 to 154 of the family's 154-position model. Rfam says of the family: 5.8S ribosomal RNA (5.8S rRNA) is a component of the large subunit of the eukaryotic ribosome. The record is from RNAcentral. Lineage: Eukaryota; Fungi; Basidiomycota; Agaricomycetes; Agaricales; Inocybaceae.